Molecule: ribosomal RNA, 487 nt
Filed under: uncultured Actinomycetes bacterium
Lineage: Bacteria; Bacillati; Actinomycetota; Actinomycetes
Description: bacterial SSU rRNA
Rfam family: Bacterial small subunit ribosomal RNA
Source: RNAcentral
UGGGGAAUAUUGCACAAUGGGCGAAAGCCUGAUGCAGCGACGCCGCGUGAGGGAUGACGGCCUUCGGGUUGUAAACCUCUUUCAGCAGGGAAGAAGCGAAAGUGACGGUACCUGCAGAAGAAGCGCCGGCUAACUACGUGCCAGCAGCCGCGGUAAUACGUAGGGCGCGAGCGUUGUCCGGAAUUAUUGGGCGUAAAGAGCUCGUAGGCGGCUUGUCACGUCGGUUGUGAAAGCCCGGGGCUUAACCCCGGGUCUGCAGUCGAUACGGGCAGGCUAGAGUUCGGUAGGGAGAUCGGAAUUCCUGGUGUAGCGGUGAAAUGCGCAGAUAUCAGGAGGAACACCGGUGGCGAAGGCGGAUCUCUGGCGAUACUGACGCUGAGGAGCGAAAGCGUGGGGAGCGAACAGGAUUAGAUACCCUGGUAGUCCACGCCGUAAACGGUGGGCACUAGGUGUGGGCGACAUUCCACGUCGUCCGUGCCGCAGCUAA